RNAcentral lists this ribosomal RNA (487 nucleotides) under uncultured bacterium. RNAcentral's name for it is "partial 16S ribosomal RNA". It matches the Rfam family "Bacterial small subunit ribosomal RNA", at positions 28 to 507 of the family's 1533-position model. The record is from RNAcentral.
GAUGAACGCUAGCGAUAGGCUUAACACAUGCAAGUCGAGGGGCAGCACAAGGUAUCUUGCUAUCUGGGUGGCUACCGGCGCACGGGUGCGUAACGCGUAUGCAACUUGCCCUAUACAGGAGGAUAACCCGUCGAAAGACGGACUAAUACUGCGUAUGCUCACAACUUGGCAUCAAGUGGUGAGGAAAGAAAUUCGGUAUAGGAUAGGCAUGCGUCCCAUUAGCUUGUUGGUGAGGUAACGGCUCACCAAGGCAACGAUGGGUAGGGGAACUGAGAGGUUUAUCCCACACAAUGGUACUGAGACACGGACCAGAAUCCUAAGGGAGGCAGCAGUGAGGAAUAUUGGUCAAUGGGCGCGAGCCUGAACCAGCCAAGUCGCGUGAAGGAUGACUGUCUUAUGGAUUGUAAACUUCUUUUAUACGGGAAUAACAAGAGUCACGUGUGACUCCCUGAAUGUACCGUAUGAAUAAGCAUCGGCUAACUCCGUG